UAGCUGGUUGUCCAGAAACAGAGYUACCGUUCAAUUUAAUUUACCUAAAAACUACUCAAUUCUAAUGUAAAUUUAAAUUAUAGUCUAAAAAGGUACAGCUUUUUAGAUACAGGUUACAACCUUCAUUAGAGAGUAAGAACAAGAUAAACCCAUAGUUGGCUUAAAAGCAGCCAUCAAUUAAGAAAGCGUUCAAGCUCAACGACACAUCUAUCUUAAUCCCAACAAUCAACCCAAACUAACUCCUAAUCUCAUACUGGACUAUUCUAUCAACACAUAGAAGCAAUAAUGUUAAUAUGAGUAACAAGAAUUAUUUCUCCUUGCAUAAGCUUAUAUCAGAACGAAUACUCACUGAUAGUUAACAACAAGAUAGGGAUAAUCCAAAAACUAAUCAUCUAUUUAAACCAUUGUUAACCCAACACAGGCAUGCAUCUAUAAGGAAAGAUUAAAAGAAGUAAAAGGAACUCGGCAAACACAAACCCCGCCUGUUUACCAAAAACAUCACCUCUAGCAUUUCCAGUAUUAGAGGCACUGCCUGCCCAGUGACAUCUGUUUAAACGGCCGCGGUAUCCUAACCGUGCAAAGGUAGCAUAAUCACUUGUUCCCUAAAUAGGGACUUGUAUGAAUGGCCACACGAGGGUUUUACUGUCUCUUACUUCCAAUCAGUGAAAUUGACCUUCCCGUGAAGAGGCGGGAAUGACUAAAUAAGACGAGAAGACCCUAUGGAGCUUUAAUUAACUGAUUCACAAAAAACAACACACAAACCUAACCUUCAGGGACAACAAAACUUUUGAUUGAAUCAGCAAUUUCGGUUGGGGUGACCUCGGAGAACAAAACAACCUCCGAGUGAUUUAAAUCCAGACUAACCAGUCAAAAUAUAUAAUCACUUAUUGAUCCAAACCAUUGAUCAACGGAACAAGUUACCCUAGGGAUAACAGCGCAAUCCUAUUCCAGAGUCCAUAUCGACAAUUAGGGUUUACGACCUCGAUGUUGGAUCAAGACAUCCUAAUGGUGCAACCGCUAUUAAGGGUUCGUUUGUUCAUGAUUAAAGUCUUACGUGAUCUGA
Molecule: ribosomal RNA, 1063 nt
Filed under: Equus caballus (horse)
Lineage: Eukaryota; Metazoa; Chordata; Mammalia; Perissodactyla; Equidae
Description: partial 16S rRNA
Rfam family: Bacterial large subunit ribosomal RNA
Source: RNAcentral